This is a non-coding RNA of Cinara cedri, 516 nucleotides long. NCBI's taxonomy places the organism in Eukaryota, Metazoa, Arthropoda, Insecta, Hemiptera, Aphididae. The record is from the annotation of a GenBank genome assembly.
AAAAAAAAAAAAAAAAAAUGGAAAAAAUCGCGAAAAGACUUGCUUUCUCGGCGAUUUGUUUUUGAUUUUUUUUUUCUCUUUUUGUUACGUUGGAAUAUACUAUAAACAUAUAUAUUAAGAGAAAGAAAAUGGAAACAAAUUUGAAAAAAAAAAAAAAAUUAUAAUUAUGUAAAGCUGAAAUGGACGAUAAGAAAAAAAAAAAAAUAAUAAAAAAAAAAUUUGGCGCGUAGCAAAUAAAGUACUUUUGUUUUUAUUUUUUAAUUCGUUAUUGUUUUUUGUUUUAUUCGACGACUCGUCGUCGUUCCUCUCCGUUCCUCUUGUACCGUAAUCGCUACCAGAUUCACAACGUCGGCGGCGUGACCGCGUGGAGGCGGGCGAUUUACACGAUACAUAUCGCCCCCUCCAAAACUCUCACCCCGGAAUCUCGAUCGACGAACUCGCGGACCUGUCCGAUCGUCCGGACACGCGCCGGGUGAUUGUGAAUUUUUCGAUCGGUGUCCGCGAUAUUAUCGCCGG